AAAACAUUGCCUCAUGAAAACUGAUAAGAGGUCCAUCCUGCCCAGUGACCUACGGGUUAAACGGCCGCGGUACCCUGACCGUGCUAAGGUAGCGUAAUAAGUCGCCCUUUAAUUGUGGGCUAGUAUGAAAGGACAAACGAAAGUUAUGCUGUCUCCUAAUAAAAAAUUGAAACUGUCCUUCAGGUGAAGAGACCUGAAUAUAUUCAAAGGACAAGAAGACCCCGUAGAGCUUCAUAUUUAAAUCCCUACAAAAGUAUAUAUUAAUAUAAUCCUUUUAUUCGAAUUAUAAUAUUUAGCUGGGGCGGCUAAGGAAAAUAUAUCUUCCAUAUCCCUUUUAAUAGACCUACAUGUCAUAAACAAAUGACCCUUUCUAAGAUCAAAGAAUCAAGCUACCUCGGGGAUAACAGAUUAAUUCUUCUUGAGAGUCCCCAUUGACAGAAGAGAUUGACACCUCGAUGUUGGCUUAGGAUAUCCUAUAGAUCUGCAGCAGUCUAUAAUGGUGGGUUUGUUCAACCCUUAAAAUCCUACGUGAUCUGAGU
This 539-nucleotide ribosomal RNA is filed under the name Isolda pulchella. RNAcentral describes it as "partial 16S ribosomal RNA". It matches the Rfam family "Bacterial large subunit ribosomal RNA", at positions 1810 to 2610 of the family's 2925-position model. The record is from RNAcentral. Lineage: Eukaryota; Metazoa; Annelida; Polychaeta; Terebellida; Melinnidae.